UUAUGUGCAGUCAAGGCUUUUCACUGAGGCAGCAAGAGCUUUCUCAUCAUGUUUAUAGAUCUCCAGAGAUUCCCAAAGGCAUGGUCCUUCCUCUCUCUGGUUCCUAAAUAACUUCUACUAAGGUGGCUUUUACUAUUUUACUUUUCAGAUUUUUUCCAAGGCCUGUCUCAAGGAACAUGGGACAUACUCACCCAGGAAUAGGUCAGCAGAUAUUAACGAGGCACCUUAUAACAUCUAAUUUAAAGCACACUUCCCUUGCAUGACUCCUACCUACAGGUGAAUUCCCUAUCAACUCAGGGAACUCCCUUAAGAUUAGAAUGCAGUUUUGUAUGCCUCCUGUUAUAUAUGUUUAACUUUAGAGAGGUGCAGCCUAUUCACCAAUCUCUAACAUCAUCAUCAAUUAAACAGGGCAUGUGACCACCCGUGAACCCAUGCUAGAGUUUUCCAGGUAUGUUCCUGUGAGGUCUUCAGUGAUUCACUGGAAGUACUCACAGAUCUCAGAAAACCUGUCAUGUUACAAUUAUAGUUUAUUAUAUAGCAAGAGGAUUCAGAUUGAAGUCAGCAAUGGAAAAAGAUACAUAGAGCAAACUCCAGCAGAAACCAAGUACGUGCUUCUAGUUCUCUUGCAGUUCAUGCAUGUGACCAGCCUAAUUCUCCCUGUUACAAUGUGAGACGACACGCAGACAGUGUUGCCAACCAGGAAGGCUCACCUGAGCUUUGGUGUCCAGGCGAACUGCCCAUGGGACUGACCUUCGGUCUCCAGUUCCUCCAGAGGUCAAGCUGAUACCACCACCAGGAGAGAGAAUCAGCUUGACUUGAGGAUGCCUCUCAAGGGAGAAGACUCCGCUUCAAUCAAACAGAGAGAUAUUCAUUUUUCACUUCUCUGGAUAUUGGUUUUCUAAGAGCAUUUGAGUUUAGCAGUAUACCCUCUAAGACAUUAUAGCUCUGCAAAUCCCGUUCCAAGCAUAUGACGUUACAGUUUACGCACCAUCGAGGUCUCCAAGCAGAGAAAUUCCCAAUGGUUGCCUUCAUUGGUCCAGACUUACACAUGGUUGGGAAAUCAAAACACCGUCACUACACAUGAGUUAUCUGCCUCUUGCUUCCAAGCAGACCCCUUUGUUUUAAAGCAGUGGCACUUAUAUAAACAUCAGACUUAUUCAUCUUAUGCUUACGCAUGUGUGAAAUUCUCAAAUUAUACAAUCUUGGGUUGUUUAAUGUUGUGACAGAAAAACCAACCCAACCGCUAAAAAGUCCAGUUAAAACAAAACUAUAAUCUUUUUCUUUUAAAAUUUGGUGGGAGCAGGGAGACAAAGUGGAAGCUGUGUGUUCAGGACCUGUCUAGACCUCGCCUUAUGUGUCUUUUCAUUGGGCUAGUCCCCACUGUACCUUUUA
Neofelis nebulosa (Clouded leopard) is the source of this 1392-nucleotide long non-coding RNA. RefSeq lists it as uncharacterized. The record is from RefSeq and is a predicted model, not a curated record. NCBI's taxonomy places the organism in Eukaryota, Metazoa, Chordata, Mammalia, Carnivora, Felidae. The transcript is spliced from 3 exons.